This 427-nucleotide ribosomal RNA is filed under the name uncultured Selenomonas sp. RNAcentral describes it as "bacterial SSU rRNA". It matches the Rfam family "Bacterial small subunit ribosomal RNA", at positions 355 to 774 of the family's 1533-position model. Lineage: Bacteria; Bacillati; Bacillota; Negativicutes; Selenomonadales; Selenomonadaceae. The record is from RNAcentral.
UGGGGAAUCUUCCGCAAUGGGCGCAAGCCUGACGGAGCAACGCCGCGUGAGUGAAGAAGGUCUUCGGAUCGUAAAGCUCUGUUGAUGGGGACGAACGUGCCUAAUGCGAAUAGUAUUAGGUAAUGACGGUACCCAUCGAGGAAGCCACGGCUAACUACGUGCCAGCAGCCGCGGUAAUACGUAGGUGGCGAGCGUUGUCCGGAAUCAUUGGGCGUAAAGGGAGCGCAGGCGGGCAUGUAAGUCUUUCUUAAAAGUGCGGGGCUCAACCCCGUGAUGGGAAAGAAACUAUGUGUCUUGAGUACAGGAGAGGAAAGCGGAAUUCCCAGUGUAGCGGUGAAAUGCGUAGAUAUUGGGAGGAACACCAGUGGCGAAGGCGGCUUUCUGGACUGCAACUGACGCUGAGGCUCGAAAGCCAGGGGAGCGAACG